UGGCUUGUGACUCAGCCUGGUAGAGUGCCGCCCUUACAAGGCGGAUGCCGAGGGUUCGAAUCCCUCCAAGCCAA
RNAcentral lists this transfer RNA (74 nucleotides) under Methanobrevibacter millerae. Its description in RNAcentral is "tRNA_Val_TAC". It matches the Rfam family "tRNA". From Rfam's summary of the family: Transfer RNA (tRNA) molecules are approximately 80 nucleotides in length. The record is from RNAcentral. Lineage: Archaea; Methanobacteriati; Methanobacteriota; Methanobacteria; Methanobacteriales; Methanobacteriaceae.